This 373-nucleotide ribosomal RNA is filed under the name uncultured bacterium. RNAcentral's name for it is "bacterial SSU rRNA". It matches the Rfam family "Bacterial small subunit ribosomal RNA", at positions 29 to 385 of the family's 1533-position model. The record is from RNAcentral.
AACGAACGCUGGCGGCGUGCCUAACACAUACAAGUCGUGCGAGAAAGUUCCUUCGGGGGCGAGUAAAGCGGCGCACGGGUGAGUAACACGUAGGUAACCUGCCCCCCAGUCUGGAACAACUAGAGGAAACUCUAGCUAAUGCCGGAUGAGACCACGAUCCCUUCGGGGGUUGCGGCCAAAGAUGGCCUCUACUUGUAAGCUAUCGCUGAGGGAUGGGCCUGCGGGCCAUUAGCUUGUUGGUGAGGUAACGGCUCACCAAGGCUGUGAUGGCUAGCUGGUCUGAGAGGAUGACCAGCCACACUGGGACUGAGACACGGCCCAGACUCCUACGGGAGGCAGCAGUGGGGAAUAUUGCGCAAUGGGCGAAAGCCUG